This 329-nucleotide unclassified non-coding RNA is filed under the name plant metagenome. Its description in RNAcentral is "partial contains 5.8S ribosomal RNA, internal transcribed spacer 2, and large subunit ribosomal RNA". The stretch from base 1 to 105 matches the Rfam family "5.8S ribosomal RNA", at positions 50 to 154 of the family's 154-position model. The record is from RNAcentral.
GAAAUGCGAUAAGUAAUGUGAAUUGCAGAAUUCCGUGAAUCAUCGAAUCUUUGAACGCACAUUGCGCCCUCUGGUAUUCCGGGGGGCAUGCCUGUCCGAGCGUCAUUGCGACCCCCUCAAGCACGGCUUGUGUGAUGGGCCCUCCCGCGUCUUGGUCGUCAAGACGGGCCCGAAAAGCAGUGGCGGCUUCGCGGUUAUCCGAUCAGCCAGAGCGUAUGGGGACUUUCUCUCUGUCACACGCCCGCGGCGCGGACCGACGCCUGUCGACCUUUAUUCAUCUUUUUCUCGGUUGACCUCGGAUCAGGUAGGGAUACCCGCUGAACUUAAGC